Molecule: long non-coding RNA, 635 nt
Organism: Felis catus (domestic cat)
Lineage: Eukaryota; Metazoa; Chordata; Mammalia; Carnivora; Felidae
Exons: 2
Source: RefSeq, a predicted model, not a curated record
CACAGGCAGCCGUCCAAAACAUUACAAGCUAAAAUGCAACCAUGACCACCUGGAGUUUCAGCACAAUGAGACGCUAUGCUUUGGAGAACAUUCUUUUGACUGGAGGGGGAAAACAGCCUCAACCCUGUGGAACAAAUGAGCAUACGGAAACAUCCAGAAGAUGUUACAUAUGGUGACAAGUUGUCAGUCCUCGUUUGGCACAGAAUGCAUUUUUUUUUUUCUGGUUGAUAUUAUUCCCCAAAUGUUCGUGAGUAAUUUCAUGUGCAAGAAUUUUUUUUUUCUCCCUGCUUGGCAGAAAUUUCCGUAAGGACAAGGUCCACAACUUAUUUCUUUUAUAUCCUCCCCCAAAUGCAUAGCACAGUCUGUUCCUCACACCAGACACUGACUCAGUGUAGGGAGAUUCCAUGAGUGGAACCUUACCCUGAAUGAGUGAUGCCUAUGAAGAUUCUGAAAUGCCCAUUUCUUCCACAAGCACACCUCUCCUUCCCCCAUCUGACCCCUUUUGUCAAAGGCAUUUUCCAUCUUGGAUAUCACUAAGCAGAAGCAGAAAGCCAGAACCCACUGCCAACCUGUAGCAUCUAGAACUGUCCGGAGUUUGAUUAAGGAGUUAGUAAUUAAACCAAUGGAUUCAUAAA